AUGGUGGUGUCGACGACGCCAUCUCCACAUCGGGACUGCCCUACUGAAAUCCUCGAUGGAGAUGUUGUCCCUCCACUGCCUCCCUCACAUGCUGAAGCUGUGGUUUCUCCGUCGCUUCCCUCCUUGAUUGGAGCUGCUGUUUCGUCACCUUCCGCUUCAGCAAGGGCUCCUGCAACCUUGCCGCGCCCUUUCCCAUCCUCCAAGAACAAAGGGCAUGCAUCCAAGAACAAAGGGCAUGUGUCAACUGAUGAAGUCGAUGCAGCUGCAACACUUUGUUCCCUUGUCCCAAUGACCCAAGAUCCUCACCAAGGUUACUCAGGAGAAAAGCAAAGACUCGCAAAGAAGAGGCUGAGGUCACCGUUACUGGUGCCCAUAGUGGGAUCCCCAGGGGUUAAUGUCGUGUUAUCUCAGGCAUCUCCAAUAUUAGGUGUGAAACGAUCAUCGCCAACACUGCCUCAGAUUCCUUGUCUUUCACAUAAAAGAAAAAGAAGGAAACUUAAAUCUGAAAUCUGGAAUGAUUAUGAUCCUGUGUAUGAUGGCAACAAAAUCAAGGAAGCACACUGUAAAUAUUGCAAGAGAGUUUUUAUUUGUACAAGAAUAGCUGGUACUAGUCAAUGCAUCAGGCAUUUGUUAGUUUGUGAGGAAAGAGCCAAGGUCAAUGAGUUUCUCGACUCGAUUAAAUCAGCCAUGCCACAACCUGAUCCAAACAGUGUAGAAAAAUGGAAAUAUGACCGCGACAGAGCACAUUGGGAGUUGAUGAGGAUGAUUGUCGUUCAUGAAUUGCCAUUCUCCAUAGUGGAAUAUGAUAGGUUUAGGCGAUUCGUGCAUAGUCUGAAUCCAACAUUUGAGGUGGUGUCUAGGACGACAAUAACACUUGAUUGCCUCCUUCUAUUUGAUGAACAAAGGACAAACCUUCGAGGGGCUAUGCAGAACUUAACCUCCCGUGUCUCUUUAACCGCCGACAUGUGGACUUCAAGUCAACUCAAGAGCCGUGGAUAA
This 999-nucleotide ribosomal RNA is filed under the name Triticum aestivum (bread wheat). RNAcentral's name for it is "partial small subunit ribosomal RNA". The record is from RNAcentral. Lineage: Eukaryota; Viridiplantae; Streptophyta; Magnoliopsida; Poales; Poaceae.